GGGUUGUGAGGUUAAGCGACUAAGCGUACACGGUGGAUGCCCUGGCAGUCAGAGGCGAUGAAGGACGUGCUAAUCUGCGAUAAGCGUCGGUGAGGUGAUAUGAACCGUUAUAACCGGCGAUUUCCGAAUGGGGAAACCCAGUGUGUUUCGACACACUAUCAUUAACUGAAUCCAUAGGUUAAUGAGGCGAACCGGGGGAACUGAAACAUCUAAGUACCCCGAGGAAAAGAAAUCAACCGAGAUUCCCCCAGUAGCGGCGAGCGAACGGGGAGGAGCCCAGAGCCUGAAUCAGUGUGUGUGUUAGUGGAAGCGUCUGGAAAGGCGCGCGAUACAGGGUGACAGCCCCGUACACAAAAAUGCACAUAUUGUGAGCUCGAUGAGUAGGGCGGGACACGUGGUAUCCUGUCUGAAUAUGGGGGGACCAUCCUCCAAGGCUAAAUACUCCUGACUGACCGAUAGUGAACCAGUACCGUGAGGGAAAGGCGAAAAGAACCCCGGCGAGGGGAGUGAAAAAAGAACCUGAAACCGUGUACGUACAAGCAGUGGGAGCCUCUUAAUGGGGUGACUGCGUACCUUUGUAUAAUGGGUCAGCGACUUAUAUUCUGUAGCAAGGUUAACCGAAUAGGGGAGCCGAAGGGAAACCGAGUCUUAACUGGGCGCUAAGUUGCAGGGUAUAGACCCGAAACCCGGUGAUCUAGCCAUGGGCAGGUUGAAGGUUGGGUAACACUAACUGGAGGACCGAACCGACUAAUGUUGAAAAAUUAGCGGAUGACUUGUGGCUGGGGGUGAAAGGCCAAUCAAACCGGGAGAUAGCUGGUUCUCCCCGAAAGCUAUUUAGGUAGCGCCUCGUGAAUUCAUCUCCGGGGGUAGAGCACUGUUUCGGCAAGGGGGUCAUCCCGACUUACCAACCCGAUGCAAACUGCGAAUACCGGAGAAUGUUAUCACGGGAGACACACGGCGGGUGCUAACGUCCGUCGUGAAGAGGGAAACAACCCAGACCGCCAGCUAAGGUCCCAAAAGUCAUGGUUAAGUGGGAAACGAUGUGGGAAGGCCCAGACAGCCAGGAUGUUGGCUUAGAAGCAGCCAUCAUUUAAAGAAAGCGUAAUAGCUCACUGGUCGAGUCGGCCUGCGCGGAAGAUGUAACGGGGCUAAACCAUGCACCGAAGCUGCGGCAGCGACACUAUGUGUUGUUGGGUAGGGGAGCGUUCUGUAAGCCUGUGAAGGUGGCCUGUGAGGGUUGCUGGAGGUAUCAGAAGUGCGAAUGCUGACAUAAGUAACGAUAAAGCGGGUGAAAAGCCCGCUCGCCGGAAGACCAAGGGUUCCUGUCCAACGUUAAUCGGGGCAGGGUGAGUCGACCCCUAAGGCGAGGCCGAAAGGCGUAGUCGAUGGGAAACAGGUUAAUAUUCCUGUACUUGGUGUUACUGCGAAGGGGGGACGGAGAAGGCUAUGUUGGCCGGGCGACGGUUGUCCCGGUUUAAGCGUGUAGGCUGGUUUUCCGGUGCAAAUCCGGAAAACCAAGGCUGAGGCGUGAUGACGAGGCACUACGGUGCUGAAGCGACAAAUGCCCUGCUUCCGCGGAAAAGCCUCUAAGCAUCAGGUAACAUCAAAUCGUACCCCAAACCGACACAGGUGGUCAGGUAGAGAAUACCAAGGCGCUUGAGAGAACUCGGGUGAAGGAACUAGGCAAAAUGGUGCCGUAACUUCGGGAGAAGGCACGCUGAUAUGUAGGUGAAGCGACUUGCUCGUGGAGCUGAAAUCAGUCGAAGAUACCAGCUGGCUGCAACUGUUUAUUAAAAACACAGCACUGUGCAAACACGAAAGUGGACGUAUACGGUGUGACGCCUGCCCGGUGCCGGAAGGUUAAUUGAUGGGGUUAGCGGUAACGCGAAGCUCUUGAUCGAAGCCCCGGUAAACGGCGGCCGUAACUAUAACGGUCCUAAGGUAGCGAAAUUCCUUGUCGGGUAAGUUCCGACCUGCACGAAUGGCGUAAUGAUGGCCAGGCUGUCUCCACCCGAGACUCAGUGAAAUUGAACUCGCUGUGAAGAUGCAGUGUACCCGCGGCAAGACGGAAAGACCCCGUGAACCUUUACUAUAGCUUGACACUGAACAUUGAGCCUUGAUGUGUAGGAUAGGUGGGAGGCUUUGAAGUGUGGACGCCAGUCUGCAUGGAGCCGACCUUGAAAUACCACCCUUUAAUGUUUGAUGUUCUAACGUUGGCCCGUAAUCCGGGUUGCGGACAGUGUCUGGUGGGUAGUUUGAUCAGGGCGGUCUCCUCCUAAAGAGUAACGGAGGAGCACGAAGGUUGGCUAAUCCUGGUCGGACAUCAGGAGGUUAGUGCAAUGGCAUAAGCCAGCUUGACUGCGAGCGUGACGGCGCGAGCAGGUGCGAAAGCAGGUCAUAGUGAUCCGGUGGUUCUGAAUGGAAGGGCCAUCGCUCAACGGAUAAAAGGUACUCCGGGGAUAACAGGCUGAUACCGCCCAAGAGUUCAUAUCGACGGCGGUGUUUGGCACCUCGAUGUCGGCUCAUCACAUCCUGGGGCUGAAGUAGGUCCCAAGGGUAUGGCUGUUCGCCAUUUAAAGUGGUACGCGAGCUGGGUUUAGAACGUCGUGAGACAGUUCGGUCCCUAUCUGCCGUGGGCGCUGGAGAACUGAGGGGGCUGCUCCUAGUACGAGAGGACCGGAGUGGACGCAUCACUGGUGUUCGGGUUGUCAUGCCAAUGGCACUGCCCGGUAGCUAAAUGCGGAAGAGAUAAGUGCUGAAAGCAUCUAAGCACGAAACUUGCCCCGAGAUGAGUUCUCCCUGACUCCUUGAGAGUCCUGAAGGAACGUUGAAGACGACGACGUUGAUAGGCCGGGUGUGUAAGCGCAGCGAUGCGUUGAGCUAACCGGUACUAAUGAACCGUGAGGCUUAACCUUACAACGCCGAAG
RNAcentral lists this ribosomal RNA (2927 nucleotides) under Escherichia coli. Its description in RNAcentral is "23S ribosomal RNA". It matches the Rfam family "Bacterial large subunit ribosomal RNA". The record is from RNAcentral. Lineage: Bacteria; Pseudomonadati; Pseudomonadota; Gammaproteobacteria; Enterobacterales; Enterobacteriaceae.